This is a long non-coding RNA of Ipomoea nil (Japanese morning glory), 1303 nucleotides long. RefSeq lists it as uncharacterized. The transcript is spliced from 2 exons. Lineage: Eukaryota; Viridiplantae; Streptophyta; Magnoliopsida; Solanales; Convolvulaceae. The record is from RefSeq and is a predicted model, not a curated record.
UAUUUUCAGCUCGAUUUUAAUCUCAAUUGAAUUGGAUUAUUGAUUUUUCACCCAAGGUUUUAUUUGUAUCAAAGUAUGAAUGUUUUAUUGUUGGAAAGUUGUUGUUAUAGUUGUUUUACUCUUAUCAAUUUGAUUGUUUUCUUAUGUUACUGGCAAUUUUGGUUUUUGUUUUGUUUCCAGUUUGUAAUUGAGUCUGGAUUUUCAUUAUUGUGUUCUCCCACCCCUGGGUAUUUGAUUCCUCUAAUUAUACAAAUUAGAAUCAUAUCAUCUGCUAGAGGAGUACUUGUGUUUCUAGCAAGGGUGCUGAACUUGAAGAAGUAAUGCUAUUGCCAAUAUGGUGUUUUCUCUUCACCUAUGAAUUUGAUUGUUUUCUUAUGCUACUCGCCAGGGUUUCGGAUUGUAUUUUAUUUGUGGGGCAAUGAACUAAUGCAAUGUUUUUUGAGAAUUUGAUUUUAUAGGUUCUGUGGUUGUGUGUGGCGAAGAUCACAUUGCAUCUUACAACUUGCUUAUCAUCACUUUGUUGGUAUCUGUUUUUAUGAUUCCACAAUAUGUUUUUUCGGUGAUCACACCAAAACACAUUAUAUAUAGGUUUAGUGGCUCUAUCUUUCAUAGUCAUUCUGCAGAAAGUCAUCAUACAAAGAGUACAUUCUGUCUAUGUAUACUAGUCCCAGAGAAAUGGGAUUAUGGGAUAAUUAUCACCCUAUCCCUGAUUCUUAACCUGAAAACAAGGCGUCUUUUAGGCGGGCGGCUGACUAGGCGCCCUCGGCGCUCAACUGGGCCGAGUCGGGGCCCAACUCGGCCAACCCUAAUUUGAUAACCCCCCCCCCCACCCCCCCCACAAAAGAAGAAGAAGUCCAAAGCAUCGAGCGUCGCCCUCUCCACAACCGCAAAGCGUUAGCAUCGUCGUCGUCCAGCCAUCUAGUCCUCACCGUCACAACAGCCACAGACCUCCUCAGCCUCCUCGUCUGCUCGUCAUCGUAGUUGCUACACGGAGUUGCCUCAUCAUUGUCCGUCAUUGCCGGCCUCGCCUACACCUCGUCGGUUGCUCCUCUUAUAAAAUGCCUUGGCUGAAUGUAGUCUCUAGAACACUGCCUUCUACUUUUGAUUUAUAUUUAUUGUCUUUGCCUCUCUGGAACACUGCCUUCUAUUUUGUUUUCUAAUUACUAGUGUGUCUAGGUGCUAGGCGCCCCCCGAGCGCCCGAUUAGCGCCUUCUGCAACAUUGUCUAUUGUCUAUACUCUUUAGAAACUUUGUUUUGAGCCCAUUCUUAGGAAGCUUCAAUAUAUGUUUCAUAGAGAUGGCAA